RNAcentral lists this ribosomal RNA (237 nucleotides) under uncultured bacterium. RNAcentral's name for it is "partial 16S ribosomal RNA". It matches the Rfam family "Bacterial small subunit ribosomal RNA", at positions 96 to 334 of the family's 1533-position model. The record is from RNAcentral.
UGGCGAACGGGUGAGUAACACGUGGGUAAUCUGCCCUGCACUCUGGGAUAAGCCUUGGAAACGGGGUCUAAUACCGGAUAUCACCUCCUUGGGCAUCCAGGGGGGUUGAAAGUUCUGGCGGUGCAGGAUGAACCCGCGGCCUAUCAGCUUGUUGGUGGGGUAGUGGCCUACCAAGGCGACGACGGGUAGCCGGCCUGAGAGGGUGACCGGCCACACUGGGACUGAGACACGGCCCAG